CUACGUGCCAGCAGCCGCGGUAAUACGGAAGGUCCGGGCGUUAUCCGGAUUUAUUGGGUUUAAAGGGAGCGUAGGCCGGAGAUUAAGUGUGUUGUGAAAUGUAGACGCUCAACGUCUGACUUGCAGCGCAUACUGGUUUCCUUGAGUACGCACAACGUUGGCGGAAUUCGUCGUGUAGCGGUGAAAUGCUUAGAUAUGACGAAGAACUCCGAUUGCGAAGGCAGCUGACGGGAGCGCAACUGACGCUUAAGCUCGAAGGUGCGGGUAUCGAACAGGAUUAGAUACCCUGGUAGUCCGCACAGUAAACGAUGGAUGCUCGCUGUUGGUACCUGGUAUCAGCGGCUAAGCGAAAGCAUUAAGCAUCCCACCUGGGGAGUACGCCGGCAACGGUGAAACUCAAAGGAAUUGACGGGGGCCCGCACAAGCGGAGGAACAUGUGGUUUAAUUCGAUGAUACGCGAGGAACCUUACCCGGGCUUGAA
Molecule: ribosomal RNA, 481 nt
Filed under: uncultured bacterium
Lineage: Bacteria
Description: bacterial SSU rRNA
Rfam family: Bacterial small subunit ribosomal RNA
Source: RNAcentral